CCCUUAGAUGUUCUGGGCCGCACACGCGCUACACUGGAGGAGGCAGCGUGUACUCCUGGAUCGAAAGAUUUGGGUAACCCGCGAAUCUCCUUCGUGCUAGGGAUUGAGGUUUGCAAUUAUCCUUCAUGAACGAGGAAUUCCCAGUAAGUGCAAGUCAUAAGCUUGCGCUGACUACGUCCCUGCCCUUUGUACACACCGCCCGUCGCUACUACCGAUUGAAUGAUUUAGUGAGGACUUCGGACUGGGACCGAUGCGGCUUUCGGGCUGCGUCGGUAUUCUGGAAAGAUGUCCAAACUGUAUCAUUUAGAGGAAGUAAAANUCGUAACA
Molecule: ribosomal RNA, 327 nt
Filed under: uncultured eukaryote
Lineage: Eukaryota
Description: partial 18S ribosomal RNA
Rfam family: Eukaryotic small subunit ribosomal RNA
Source: RNAcentral